Long non-coding RNA from Hypanus sabinus (Atlantic stingray), 9364 nucleotides. RefSeq lists it as uncharacterized. Lineage: Eukaryota; Metazoa; Chordata; Chondrichthyes; Myliobatiformes; Dasyatidae. The transcript has 5 exons. The record is from RefSeq and is a predicted model, not a curated record.
AGCGACGUUGGAACUCGACAGCCAACCGCUGCCUUCAGUGGAAAGCGGUAGUACUGACGGCGCAACAGCUGUAAGUGGGCUUGCGUAUCGACACCAGUACUUCAAAAGUUCCAGAAGUUAAAAGAAUUGUUCGGCUUAAGUACAAAGAAACACAAUAGAAUCAGUGAAAAUAUGCACAAAACAAGACAAACAGCCAAAAUAUAAAAGUCAACAGACUGUGCAAAUACAAAAAGAAGAAAAAUCAGGUCAGGAGCCUGCACGAGGACUGAGCACGCAGAAGGACAGUAGCUGAUUUCAAGAAGGAACACUGAGGGGUGAGACAGAGAAGAUAGUUCCGAGGUAAUUUCAUUGAUCGUCUUUUCCAUCGAAGACAUCUUCAGUUCUUGAUCUUUAAUAGUUUGCCUGAAUUGUUUGUGUUCGUUCUCAAUUCGAUUCAAGGCCAUUGCUGCAAGAGGACUCCAGACCCGUCAUUCCUGCAUCGAUGCUCAAAAUCAUCAGUCAAAUCCAGCAACAUCAAGGCAUCGAGAAAUGUCACCCAAGAGGAAGGCCUGGUCUGAGCACACUGCUGGGAGAUUAUGUAGAGCAAUGUAGAGCACACAGAAAACUGUACAAAAUUCAUGCUGAAUCUCUCUGUCCCACAGAUUUCCCAGACUUUCUAGGGCAAAUUGCAGGCACAGACACUUUUGAGCUGGAUAGAGACAAAUGACUUCUCACUGUGGAUUACCACUUACUGUCUAAGCUGUCCGCUACAUCCUCAGCAGCAGUUACACAGGACCUGAAAGCACCAUGGAACACCAGAGACACUUGUGUCAGACACGGCCCACAGUUCAGCUGCUCAGAAUUCAAAGCCUUUGCGAGGGACAAUGAAUUCAAACAGCAGACAAGCAGUGCACAGUACCCACAGGCAAAUGGAGAUGCAGAAAGACCAGUGCAAAUUGUUAAGAGUCUUAGUCCAUGAGCCAGGACCCCAAAUUUGGACCACCGGUACCAUCUGGGCGGGGGGGGGGGGAUUAAUUCUUACAGUGAAUUUUGGCAAGGUAUAUGCCCUUAUAUGCCCUUAGUGCUUAGUAAAUAUGUGAUAGCAUUUCAGUGGUGGUAGCUUUCUGUGUGUUAUCACUCGAUUUAUAACCCCAUGCCAAAACACACUUUUCAAAGCUAUACGUAGCACAGAAUAAAGCAUUCUACUUCAAACUGAUGGUUCUCUCUGAAUAUUGAGACUUUGUCUUCGAAAAUUGGUGGGAGUGUAGCUCAGACUAAAUGUUUUUCAGAAAAUUUCUUAAAAUUAGCAUCUCUACAAAUGUUAUCUUACUACUGGCACUGACAACACAGCAACUAUACAUUACAUAAGAUGUACUUCUGUUUUCAUGUUCUGUUUCACAUUUAUAUCCUGUAUAUCUCCAUUUGUACACACAUUUAUAUCACCCUUGCAGCAGGUGCUUUUUUCACCAGCAAUGUUAAUGUGAUUUUUUUCUGUUUCAGGUACUGUGGUGGUGGGAUAGUCCUGCACAAUAGAGGAGAGACAAGAGUAGAGUAGAUUUAGAUCUGGAGUAGCUGAAUCACUUUGCUUCAGAAUGGAGAGCCAGAAGCACAAAGAAUCUAUUAAGAAGCAGUGUAUCAUGCACCUGAAAACAUCAAAAGAAGAUGAUGGCCAUUUAGUUAGUCCUCAAGACUAUAAAUCCUGGAAAACAUUACUUGAAGCAGCCAAAGUGAGAAACUAUGCCCCUAUUUUAGACGUUGCUAAAGAACUUGGAGAAAAAUAAGUCCUAAAAAUCUACUAUCACCGUAAAUGCCGAAGCCUCUUCACCACGAAGGGAGACUUAGAGACUCUGAAAAGGAAAGCCAAGGAAAGCAUUACUGAUGAAGCUGGUGAGCAUACAUCAAAAAUGCCGAGUAGGAGAUCCUCAGCAGAAGCAAGGGUAUAUAGUCAAAUCUUUUUUUUUGUAAUAAGGUGAAAUUUCUGAAGGGCUCCAAGUCACGUGAAAAGCUUAUACAGGCUGUACAACUCAGUGUUGACCAAACACUACGGGAAUGUGCAACCCAAAAGGAAGAUGAAAAGAUUCUAGCAGUAACAAGCAGACACAUGGUUGCUGCAGGGGCCCACUAUCAUGUUUCAUGCUACAAGGAUUAUACCAGAAUCAAGAAAAAGGAAGCUAGUACAAAGAGAAUGAUGAUGAAACAGGUGGUGGUGAACUGUAUAAAGGAUUGAAAGGGAAGCCUAUGAAGACCUUUUCAAGUAUAUCAGAACUGAUAUCAUAACCAACAAGAUAAUUGUACAAGUCACUUCUUUGGUCACGAAACUUGAUUCUUUCAUACUAUCUGGUGGAGUUAAACUCCUGCAAGAUUCUACAAGGAAGCACGUUCGUAGGAAACUGGAAUCUGAGCUGGGCAAUUCAGGAGAUAUAUGUCCAGAUGACAAAAGAAAAUUGUUAAUGGUUCCUGAAAGUAUAUCAUUAAGGAACAUUGUCUUGGAAAAUCAAACUCUACAGAGGGAACUCAAAGUUGGGAGGGCCAAGGCAACCAAUUUCGACAAGAUCAUAGCUUAGACUUCAUCACAUAUCAGGUCCUGUCCACACCAGAAGGACUGCUGAGAAAGACAAAUAAAGCUACUUUAGCCACAACCUUGCAGGAAAAUGUAACAAUAGAGGAGCAACUCCCAGGAAACUCUGCUACAGUGGUUGAUGGAAUGAACUUGGUCCAAAGAGUGAAAGGUGAUCAAGCUACUUUCAGAGAUGUUGCCACAACAAUUCUGGGUAUGUCUCUGAGGGAAGGCAGUCAGAGUAGAAGAACAGAUGUUGUGUUCGACACAUACAAGGAGAACUCUAUCAAGAAUAGUGAAAGGCCUCUACGGGGUGAAGAGCCUGGUCAUGAGUUACAAGGUAUCACUGGCACACAGAUAGUGAGGCAGUGGAGGAGUUUCCUGACCAAAGUCAAUAACAAAAAUAGUCUCUUUAGCUUCAUAGUCCAUGAAUGGAGGAGGGUGGAGUACAGAGCAAAACUACAGGAGAAGAUUCUAUAUGCAACUGUGAAUGACAAAUGUUAGAGAAUCACAUCGCAAGACAGUGAGGAGGUGUCAGCUCUUCAGUGUCAACAAGAAGAAACAGAUGGCAGCCUACUUCUCCAUGCUGCCCAGAGAGGGAUACCAAUCUGUAGUGAUAUGCUCAGAAGACACAGAUCUCUUUAGCAUUUUGUGACAAGAUUGUUCCAGAAGUGUGGCACUAGAACCCGUACAAGGCUUGUAGACAUUAGGAAGGUUGCUGACACUGUUGGUACAGAGAUUUGUAGGACUCUCAUCGGGUUGCAUGCAUGUACAGGAUGUGACACUGUAAAUGCUUUUGCAGGCAAAGGGAAGACAAGUGUCCUAAAACUUCUGACCAGCAACAGGGAAACUCGGGACAUUUUCUUAGAGUUGGGUCAGGAAUGGGACCUCUCCCCAGAACUGAUAGACAAACUGGUGGCAUUUACAUGUCUCCUGUGUGCGCCAAAAGCUUCGACCACCAAGGUCAAUGAGCUCAGGUAUCACCUUUUCUGUGCCAAAAAAGCUCAAAUCGAAAGUCAUCAACUCCCACCAUGCAAGGGCUGCUUAACAAAACAUGCACAGUGAGCCAACUACCAGGCUGGUAUGUGGAGAAGAUGUUUGGAGAAGGACCCACAAGUGCCAAGCACUGUUGGCAGAGGAUGGAAGAUGGUGAGAGAAGAGGAAGCUGAACAGUUGACGGUGCACUGGAUGGAAGGCCAGCCAGCACCCGUUGCCAUCCUGGAUCUACUGGCCUGUAACUGUCCAAAAAAUUGUUCACUCCCAAAAUGUAUGUGUGUUGCAAAUGGCCUCAGGUGUACUGACAUGUGUAGGCCGGCAGACUGUGAGAACCAGGCAUCCACCUCAGAGAGUGUGGAAAGUUCUGAUGAAGAUGUGGAAAACAUGGAAGACUUGGAAAAUUAUUAUGAUUAUUAAUAGGUUAUGAAAGUAUGGAAAACAAAGUAUGGAAAGCAGUCUUUGAUUAAGUAUAUUCAUUUUACAACCAAAUGGAGCCUAGGUUAUGGCCAUGUGAAACCCCACAUUUGAACUAUUGUACUGUAAUUCUAGCUGCUAUGACAAAAGCUUAAGAUUGUUUUGAUUUGAUACAACAAUAUGGAAAAUAUCAUGACAUUGAUAAGACUCCAGAAAUCUCUCCAAAUGAGGCUUUUUACCUUUUGGGGGGUGGGUAACAUUUUCUGCUGUACUGACGUUAAUAUGGAAUAUAUACAAAAAGUCAUUACUUAUUUUAAGUAAUAAAGCUACCACCAGUGCAAUGCUAUCACAUAUUUUCUAACUCUAGAGAUGUAGACCUUGCCAAAAAUCACUAUGAGCAUUAUUCCCCUCAGAUGGUACCAACUAGCCCUACUGGCUCAGGGAUUAUCUCCUACUGAAGGCAAAAGUCCCCUACAAAGCACUAUUGCUCCACGCUCCUUGUCAAUAGUUACUGUCUGACAGAGCUGUCAAUGGGCCAGAGACUAAGAACAAGCCUACCCAUUCUUCCUUCCCUUCUCCAACUUCACUUAAUGGACUUGGACAAAUUGAGAAAUAUUGAGCCAACACAGCGUGAGAAAACGAUGAGCAUGUAGGAUCUCAGACACAGACCAAAAUCUGUUACCAUUCAGGAGUGGUGAAGCUGUUUGGGUUUCAGAUCAAUACACCUGAGGAACAAUAGGCCGGCAGCAUGGACCACAAUCGUUUGUGAAUAGAACAGCACAAGGUGAAAUCAGGCAGAACAAGUGUGCGUUUGUAGAGAAAGAAAUAAAGUGGCCUGAUCCUCAUGACGAGGACCACUUACCUGACAUGGACACACCUGUUCAAGAAUCUCCACCCACUCCAACAUUUCCAGGAACCCAUACCAGAUCGUGUCAUUUAUCUGUCCCACCGCAGAGAUACACUCCAUUGCCUAAUGGCUUAGAGCAAGAGACUAAAAAGGAAGAUUAAUCUUCACUCUUUGCCACAGUGUUCAGGUAGUCUACCUUGACUUUCAUUAGAUUUAAUGUUUUUUAAAAAAAGAGUUCUAAUGUUGUAAGCAUUUCACAAAAUUAGACUUAAUUAAAAAAAGUGAAUUGGUGGAAAAAAGUGAAAACGAGAAAGGGAGAGAGAGAGAGAGACUACUUAAAGAGAAAGUCGGUUAUAACGUUUGCAAUUAUUUUUAUGUUUAUUUAAGGAGCAUAAGUUAUGUUCUAUUGGUAAAGUGAACUGAAUUGCUCAAUUUCAGUGACAAAAAUUUCAAUGCAGUUUUAUGGACAAAAAUUACAUAUCUAGUUUUUCUCUUUUUUUUCCCCAAGAAGGGGAGUUGUAGUGGUAGUUAAUAGUGUUAUUCCUAUGAUACUCAGUUAGUCACUCCCAUAUGGGAGGAGUUUACAUAAUGUACAGGGAUGGUUGACAAUAAAGUUCAGUUGAAUGUCCUGCACGCUGGUGUCCUGGUGUGCUUUGCACUCUCCCUCAAUAACAAACACAACAGAUGAAGCACAGCUGAUCAAAUAAAAGAAAGCAUUAGAUCAAAUGAAGAAGCCUAUAAAGCUGUUCAAAGUAGAUGGUAGCCUGGGUGUAGGAGGUUUUUAGAACUUAGCAAGGAAGACCAAGAUAUUGUUAGAGAAAAGCAAGAUAGACAACAAGAAUAGACAAAAGAGACACAGAACCAAUAAUCUAUAAUAGCUUCUCUUUAAGUAUAUGAAAACAAAAAGACUAUUUUUGGCAAAUGUGAGCUCCUUACAGACAGAGUCAAGAGAAUUUAUAAAGGUGAAUUAGGAAAGUAAGAGGGAUUAAACAAUUACUAUGAUCAGAAAAAGGCCGGCUGGUGACAUAGUGGCAUCAGCGCUGGACUUCGGGGUGAGAGGUCCCGAGUUCGAAUCCGGCCAGCUCCCUUACACGCUUUCCAUCCGUGCCUGGGUUGAGUGUCGGGCUAGCAACUCGACCUCAUUAAAAAAAACUUGCAGAGGGAUGGGCUGCGCCAGGUUUCAGAUGCCCAAGACACAUCGUUUGAUGAGCAGUCACCAAAAAAGAUCGGUUCAAAAACCUUGUCAUGACAACGCCCUGACAACUCCACCAGAGGAGUUAAGGGUGCACACACUCACAAACACGAUCAGAAAACCUGCUUGAUGCAAAACAGAAUCAAGGGUCUGAUGAGAAUAGGGAACUGAAAGGCAUAUACUUCUCUGUAACUUCCACCUCCAACAGAGUUCACCACAAUGGGGACUCUUUUUAAAACAAAGGGGGGGUGAAUGUGGUGAACUGCAUAUACCCGUCUGGACACGCCCCCCUGCUGACUGCUCCUGUGGCUCCUCCCACAGACCCCUGGAUAAAGGCGGUUGAGGCCUGAGCCCGGCCUCUCAGUCUCCAGGAUGUAGUAUGGUGGUCAACCACUGCUUGUUCCUUCUUCCAGUCAAUAAAAGUCGAUAUCUCGCCUUAUGUCUCAGAGAGAGUUAUUGAUGGUGCAUCAGUUCUUGUACACAAGUCACUGCAAGCCAAUGUGCAGGUGCAGAAGGGAAACAGCAACAGCAGCUACAAAAGCAGCAGCCUUUUUUAUGAGAGAAUUUUUGUUGCAGAAAUAAGGAAGUGUUUAACAAGUGUAUAGAGACACAGUGAAUCUGUACCUGGAACAUUGUGAGUUGAUUUAGUCCUCCUGUCUAUGAUCAGAGAUACUUACCACCAAGGAAGUGUAGCAAAUGUUUGUUACAUUGGUUCCAGGGAAGAUGGGUUUGCUGUAUGAGAAGAAAUUAAAUAGACCGAGGCUGUAUUCAUUAGAGUUUAGAAGACUGAAAGGGGAUGAUUUUGAAAUUACAAAUAUUACAAAUUUCUCAAAGGCCUUGACAGGCCAGAGGCAGGAAAGACAAAGAUGCUGAGGAGCAUAGGAUCAAAGGAAACAGUUUAACAAUAAGGAACAGGGCGUUUAGCAAUGAGACAUGGAGACAUUUCUUUAGUUAGAGAAUCCUUUAUCCUGGAUAGCAAUGGACCUUCAGUCAUGGAACUUAUUCAAAACAAAGAUUGAUAUAUUUCUGAGCAUUAAAGGCCUGUAAUGAUAUAAGGCUGGAAAAUGACACUGAAGUAGAUAUUAGCCAUAAUCCUAAUGAUUGGUAUAAGAGGCUUGAGGAGUAAUAUGAUCUACGCGGGUUCCUUUUCCUUAUGCUAGUUCUAGGAAACCUUCAGCGAACAGAACCAACUAUUGUGUUAAACCAAUUAGUUUGUAACAUUAAUUAAAUUAAUUGCUAAAUAAAAGACUGUUAACUUAUGUAGCUGCAUUAAAAGUACAUCACAUGAAUUUCUCAACCAUAACCUACAUUUUGAUACUGUCCUUCUUAUAGGACAAUGUCCCGAUGAACUUUAAGGAGUGAAACACUGUCAUAAUAUUGAAAGACAAAAUGUAGAGAAUAUUUAAGUAGUAUCUGUGCAGAGAAAAACAGACCUAAUGUUGCAGCUGAAUAUUGAACUCAGCAAUUUCAGAUAAUCAGUUUAUCCACUUUGCUUCACAGAUGACCUUUUCUGAUUUAUCGUAAUCUAUCCACAACAAUAACCUAUUUUUCUCUCUUUCUGUGGAUGCUACGUGAUCUGCUAAACAUUUCCAAGAUUUUAUUGAGGACAACAAAGACUAGAACAAGGCCAAGGGAAAUGACUGUUCAUGAUCUGUAUGUUUAUUGAUGAUUUUGUUAAGACCCAUUUCUGAGUCUAACACUUCGAUAUUUUCAUAAUCAACACAAGGCUGGAGUAGCAAAUUGGUCAGCAGCAGGAAACUAUUAAAUAUAGCCAAGGACUGAACUCUCUAGGUAGUGACCAGCCUUAUCUGUCUCAUCUGUACACUCUGCUGUACUAUUCAUAUCAAAGGAGAAAUCAACACAAAUUUAAAAAAACGCAAAUGCGGCUUUUGGCAGACUAUGAGCAAGUGUGUGGGAGCCCCAGAGGGUCAGCCAACAUGCAACGGUUUUGUGUUGCCACAGCAAUACACAAAGAGCAUGCUGAAGAACUGAACUGCUUUGGUUGUCUCUGGAAACUGGUUGAGGUAAAACGGCAGGUUGUAGCACUUCAGCCGUUUGCAAGGACAAAGGCUGGAUGGGAGAUUAGUGGGGAGGGACAAAUGGACAAGGGAAUCAUGGAGGCAGAAAACAGAGUGGUGGUGGUGGGGUGGGUUAAAGAUAUGUUUAGUGGUAGGAUCCCUUUAGAGAUAGCAGAAGUUGCAGAGGAUUAUGUGUUGGAUGUGAAUGCUCGUGGGGUGGUAUGUAAGGACAACAGGAACUCUAUCACUUUAGGGCUGUAAUAGGUAAAGACCAAGAAGUGUAAGCUUGAAAUAUCCAUGAAAUGAAAUAUUGAAUUCCAUAAAGGAUAUUCCCAUGGUCUUUGAGACUAGCUGGCAUGUCAGAGGAGCCAGAUUAGUUUCAGAGGAGCUGCCUGCUGCACGAAGGCAAUGGAAUUGGUGUGUGAAGCGGCAUGCAGUGUAACUUCAGGUCUUGGAGGGUUCUCUUGUGAUUGCAAGAUCCUGUUGGACAAUGAUAGUGUAAGAUGGCACAGGCCUGCUUCCUUAGUUUGGUGGGUUGACGGGCAGUAGGGAAACUGUGUUGCCUCGGUUGUAGUGAGGACCAGGCUUCAAGCUGCGGCCUUGCCUACCGUUGCAGCCCAGGAGCGGAGAUGCCAGAGGCGGUGCAGCGUGGUGUCCGUGCUGGGUCGGAGGCCGGCCUCUCCUGUCAGUGCUGCCCUCCAGUGUUCGUUCGGCGGAAUAACAAGCUGGAUUGCAUACGUCUGUGCACUGCCGCGAACUGUACUAUCAUUUUGGGGGACAUGUUACUCGGGGUAUUGGCCACGUGUUUCUUUGCAUGACUAUUUUUUCCUUUUGCUCGCUGAAUGUGCUGUGAAUGUUUUGCACUUUGUUUCAUUCAGCUGUAUACAUGUAUGGUUGAAUUGAUUGAUUUUGAUUUAAUAAGACUGUGCAUAAUUUUAUCCACAUCUUUCUGCCCUAUUCUUCCUUCAGUGAUUAUAAACAAUUAACAGUAUUUCUGACACCUGGGACAGAACUGCCUAACUUUUGCUCUUCCUUCUACGUACAGAAAGCUUUCUAAUCUUGUGGUCUGAAAUGGAAAAUAUGUGUUAGAUAUUGUUCAUCUAAUGCACUCUUACUAAAAGUACAACCUACCUGGUGUAGUCUCUCAGCUUUUCCUUCCAGGUGAGAUGUUAAACAGGGAAACCCCCAUUAGCACAGCUUGUCACUAAAAGUCCCUAGCAGACCUGCUAGCAUUUUUCUCUCAAUGAACACCAGCAAAAAUGAACACCAAACAGAGAUUUGACCAACUCGGUUCUAUUUAUGGCAUGUGAUUGUAUUUUAUUGCUGCCUUAUUUUCUAUGUAAUAAAUCCAUUGUACUGAU